GGAUUAGAUACCCUGGUAGUCCACGCCGUAAACGAUGUCAACUAGCCGUUGGGUUCAUUCAGGAAUUUAGUGGCGCAGCUAACGCGAUAAGUUGACCGCCUGGGGAGUACGCCGGCAACGGUAAAACUCAAAGGAAUUGACGGGGGCCCGCACAAGCGGUGGAGCAUGUGGUUUAAUUCGAUGCAACGCGAAGAACCUUACCAGGCCUUGACAUCCUCGGAACUUUCUAGAGAUAGAUUGGUGCCUUCGGGAACCGAGUGACAGGUGCUGCAUGGCUGUCGUCAGCUCGUGCCG
Molecule: ribosomal RNA, 294 nt
Filed under: uncultured bacterium
Lineage: Bacteria
Description: partial 16S ribosomal RNA
Rfam family: Bacterial small subunit ribosomal RNA
Source: RNAcentral